This 70-nucleotide transfer RNA is filed under the name Loxodonta africana (African savanna elephant). Its description in RNAcentral is "tRNA-Arg (TCT) (tRNA-Arg-TCT-16-1)". It matches the Rfam family "tRNA". From Rfam's summary of the family: Transfer RNA (tRNA) molecules are approximately 80 nucleotides in length. Their secondary structure includes four short double-helical elements and three loops (D, anti-codon, and T loops). The record is from Rfam by way of RNAcentral. Lineage: Eukaryota; Metazoa; Chordata; Mammalia; Proboscidea; Elephantidae.
GCAGUGGUGGUUCAGUGGUAGAAGUCUUGCCUUCUAUGCAGGGACCCAGGUUCGAUUCCUGGCCAUUGCA